Molecule: ribosomal RNA, 246 nt
Filed under: uncultured bacterium
Lineage: Bacteria
Description: partial 16S ribosomal RNA
Rfam family: Bacterial small subunit ribosomal RNA
Source: RNAcentral
GUAGGGUGCAAGCGUUAAUCGGAAUUACUGGGCGUAAAGGGCGUGUAGGCGGGGACGCAAGUCAGAUGUGAAAACCACGGGCUCAACCUGUGGCCUGCAUUUGAAACUGUGUUUCUUGAGUACUGGAGAGGCAGACGGAAUUCCUAGUGUAGCGGUGAAAUGCGUAGAUAUUAGGAGGAACACCAGUGGCGAAGGCGGUCUGCUGGACAGCAACUGACGCUGAGGCGCGAAAGCGUGGGGAGCAAA